GACGAACGCUGGCGGCGUGCCUAAUACAUGCAAGUUGAGCGCUGAAGGUUGGUACUUGUACCAACUGGAUGAGCAGCGAACGGGUGAGUAACGCGUGGGGAAUCUGCCUUUGAGCGGGGGACAACAUUUGGAAACGAAUGCUAAUACCGCAUAAAAACUUUAAACACAAGUUUUAAGUUUGAAAGAUGCAAUUGCAUCACUCAAAGAUGAUCCCGCGUUGUAUUAGCUAGUUGGUGAGGUAAAGGCUCACCAAGGCGAUGAUACAUAGCCGACCUGAGAGGGUGAUCGGCCACAUUGGGACUGAGACACGGCCCAAACUCCUACGGGAGGCAGCAGUAGGGAAUCUUAGGCAAUGGACGAAAGUCUGACCGAGCAACGCCGCGGGAGUGAAGAAGGUUGUCGGAUCGUAAAACUCUGUUGGUAGAGAAGAACGUUGGUGAGAGUGGAAAGCUCAUCAAGUGACGGUAACUACCCAGAAAGGGACGGCUAACUACGUG
Molecule: ribosomal RNA, 497 nt
Filed under: uncultured bacterium
Lineage: Bacteria
Description: partial 16S ribosomal RNA
Rfam family: Bacterial small subunit ribosomal RNA
Source: RNAcentral